This is a long non-coding RNA of Triticum dicoccoides, 447 nucleotides long. RefSeq lists it as uncharacterized. The transcript is spliced from 3 exons. NCBI's taxonomy places the organism in Eukaryota, Viridiplantae, Streptophyta, Magnoliopsida, Poales, Poaceae. The record is from RefSeq and is a predicted model, not a curated record.
UCUUGAGCACCGCCGAGAGCAGUGGAAAGAAACCCCCGAAUCGCAUCGCCUCCUCCUCCCACGCCGGCCGGAAUCCUCCUCCGCAGCCGCCUACCUCAGUCGACCUCCUUCUUCCCCACGCCGAGCGAAAUAUCUCUCUCCGUGAACUCGUUCGAGGUCGGCGUUUGCGGGCGCGGGGGAGACGCAGGAGUAAGAGCAUCCGCGGCGACCGGAGAUCAAGGAGGAGGAAGGUGCGGGUGCGUUGAAGGCGAAUUCGCCGUCCUUCCGGCGCCGUGAGGUGACCUGCGCGCGGCGGAGCUGGGUCUCCACGCAGGUACCAUAGUUUAAGGGCAGAUGCACGUUGGUUACUGAAGAGAUCUGAAAUCUCUCUUAGAAAAAGAAAUAAGACAACUUCUUUGUUUCAGACUGGUCCUUUUGACCCGUGCUUCAAGGUUGAGUAGCGGCGGC